UUAAUCUCAAACUUCAGAGUUGAUUUCUGAAGUUUUUGGAUGUUGGGGGAUUUGCUGGCAUUCGAAAUGUUGUUGGCUCCCCUUAAAUGCAUUAGCAAGGAAACCAUUUCAAGGAUGACUUGGCUCUGGUUUGAUAAUUAUAUAUCUAUGCCAUUGCUGAGAAGUCAGGAAAGGGAGUUUUCAGCUUCUAACUUGUCUUUCGAGACUUUUUUGAA
RNAcentral lists this unclassified non-coding RNA (215 nucleotides) under uncultured Clavariaceae. RNAcentral describes it as "sequence contains ITS2". The record is from RNAcentral. Lineage: Eukaryota; Fungi; Basidiomycota; Agaricomycetes; Agaricales; Clavariaceae.